GUGAACCAGCGGAGGGAUCAUUACCGAGUUUACAACUCCCAAACCCAAUGUGAACGUUACCAAACCGUUGCCUCGGCGGGAUCUCUGCCCCGGGUGCGUCGCAGCCCCGGACCAAGGCGCCCGCCGGAGGACCAACCAAAACUCUUWUUGUAUACCCCCUCGCGGGUUUUUUAUAAUCUGAGCCUUCUCGGCGCCUCUCGUAGGCGUUUCGAAAAUGAAUCAAAACUUUCAACAACGGAUCUCUUGGUUCUGGCAUCGAUGAAGAACGCAGCGAAAUGCGAUAAGUAAUGUGAAUUGCAGAAUUCAGUGAAUCAUCGAAUCUUUGAACGCACAUUGCGCCCGCCAGUAUUCUGGCGGGCAUGCCUGUCCGAGCGUCAUUUCAACCCUCGAACCCCUCCGGGGGGUCGGCGUUGGGGAUCGGCCCUCCCUUAGCGGGGGCCGUCUCCGAAAUACAGUGGCGGUCUCGCCGCAGCCUCUCCUGCGCAGUAGUUUGCACACUCGCAUCGGGAGCGCGGCGCGUCCACAGCCGUUAAACACCCAACUUCUGAAAUGUUGACCUCGGAUCAGGUAGGAAUACCCGCUGAACUUAAGCAUAUCAAUAAGCGG
This 606-nucleotide ribosomal RNA is filed under the name Trichoderma sp. RNAcentral describes it as "eukaryotic LSU rRNA". Lineage: Eukaryota; Fungi; Ascomycota; Sordariomycetes; Hypocreales; Hypocreaceae. The record is from RNAcentral.